GCUCAGCUCAUAUAGGACCACACCUUAGCUCUCGCUUUAGCACAUUUUAAAUCCUGCAAAAUUUUAGCUCCUCCCGUUUCAAACGAACUGUAAUAUAAUUUCUCUCGCUAGCUAUAUGCUUUCUUGCUAUAGCUUCUGCUCUAUAAAUAAGCUUACAUGCCCUAGCCCCUCUCUUCACUCUUCACCUCUCCAUUUAGCUUUGUGAUGUGUGCACCUUAAGCAGCUGAAGCUGCCAGCAUGAUCUGAUCUUUUGCGAUCUCUUUUUUUAUCUGAAUAAGUUGAUGGAAAUAUUGGGUUCCUAAGAUUCAGAUCGUGCUGCGCAGUUUCAUCUGCUAAUCGAUGCACUACACUGUGAAUUUCUUUCUAUCAUAUAUUACUAUCAUAUAUUUCUAGAUCUUAUCUGAAGAUUAGACAGAAAAAACGCAAUAUAUAGAGUAGAUCCAGACAGAUCAGCUGUCUGAUCGAUCUUGCAUGCAAAAACCCGUGGAGAUUGAGAUCUAGACAGAUCGUACUUAUGCAUAUAUAUUGACUGUUGUAAUCUGCACAGGAGUCAUAUGCAUAUUGAUCGAUCAACCGAGGUAUGCAUGCAUAUAUAUGGUUUAUCUCUG
RNAcentral lists this precursor RNA (608 nucleotides) under Oryza sativa Indica Group (long-grained rice). RNAcentral's name for it is "putative precursor microRNA R167j". The stretch from base 212 to 340 matches the Rfam family "MIR167 microRNA precursor family". RNAcentral also lists the same sequence under 1 other name. The record is from RNAcentral. Lineage: Eukaryota; Viridiplantae; Streptophyta; Magnoliopsida; Poales; Poaceae.